Molecule: long non-coding RNA, 319 nt
Filed under: Durio zibethinus
Lineage: Eukaryota; Viridiplantae; Streptophyta; Magnoliopsida; Malvales; Malvaceae
Description: long non-coding RNA (DZIB_LNC002289)
Source: RNAcentral
CUUGUUAGAGAGAAUUAGGCGGGUUAACCAAGCUAUCAGUACAUCAUAAGCUUUUGCAGAGCUAAUUGUGACGCGAUACACAGCAGCUCCCUGUGAACCAUUUUCAUUUCCAACAUGUUGAAAAGUACCUGUAACAGAAGCCUGGAUUUGAACUGGAUAAGAGUUGAGAUUGCCAGAUCCAACAACUCCUUGCCAAUCUUUGGAAAUCUGAUAUGCGAUGGGUGAGCUAGUAAUAUUUUUAACACGACCAUUGGUGGUGGCGUUUUGAGCCAUGUCAGUGAGCUUUAGUUAAUCUUCUUCCUAAUAGGUGUUGUGUUUG